GAUGAACGCUGGCGGUAUGCUUAAUACAUGCAAGUCGAACGGACUCUUCGGAGGUUGUGGCGGACGGGUGUAUAACGCGUCGGAAGCUGAACUUGUGGUCGGGCCAACCACUAGAAUCGGUGGCCAACACGGGAUGUGACCUGAUGUAAAAGAGCAUUUGACUGCACAUGAGCUCGCGUUUGAUUAGCUUGUUGGUGAGGUAAAUGGACACCAAGGCAGCGAUUAAUCGCUUGUCUGAGGGGAUGACCAGCCACACUUGGAAUGGGACGCCGCCCAGACUCCUACGGGGGGAAGCAGUGGAGAAUGUCCCGGCAUGGGCGAGAGCGUGACGGAGCAAUACCGCGUGAGGAAAGAAGGCUCUUGGGUUGUACACCUCUUUUCUUAGGGAAGAACAAAAUGACGGUACCUAAGGAAACAGCAUCGGCUAACUCCGUG
Molecule: ribosomal RNA, 435 nt
Filed under: uncultured bacterium
Lineage: Bacteria
Description: partial 16S ribosomal RNA
Rfam family: Bacterial small subunit ribosomal RNA
Source: RNAcentral